AAGUCGUAACAAGGUUUCCGUAGGUGAACCUGCGGAAGGAUCAUUACACAAUAUGGUCCGGUCUACUCUGUAGUUCCGGCAUCGCCGGGGGCUUCACAGCCCCCGUCUGCACCCUUGUCUUUGCGCACUCAUGUUUCCUCGGCAGGCUUGCCUGCCGCUAGGACAACCUAAACUCUUGAAUUUUCAAUCAGCGUCUAAAAAACUAUAAUAUUUACAACUUUCAACAACGGAUCUCUUGGUUCUGGCAUCGAUGAAGAACGCAGCGAAAUGCGAUAAGUAGUGUGAAUUGCAGAAUUCAGUGAAUCAUCGAAUCUUUGAACGCACAUUGCGCCCCUUGGUAUUCCAUGGGGCAUGCCUGUUCGAGCGUCAUUUGUACUCUCAAGCUCUGCUUGGUGUUGGGUGCUGUCUGGCUAACAGACUCGCCUCAAAAGAAUUGGCAGCCAGUGUAUUGGUCUUGAGCGCAGCACAAUUUGCACUCUUGCCAGCUAUAUCUGGUAUCCAGAAGCCUUUUACAUCACGCUUGACCUCGGAUCAGGUAGGGAUACCCGCUGAACUUAA
Molecule: ribosomal RNA, 558 nt
Filed under: uncultured fungus
Lineage: Eukaryota; Fungi
Description: eukaryotic LSU rRNA
Rfam family: 5.8S ribosomal RNA (bases 216-369)
Source: RNAcentral